RNAcentral lists this ribosomal RNA (500 nucleotides) under uncultured Sphingobacteriales bacterium. RNAcentral describes it as "bacterial SSU rRNA". It matches the Rfam family "Bacterial small subunit ribosomal RNA", at positions 903 to 1382 of the family's 1533-position model. Lineage: Bacteria; Pseudomonadati; Bacteroidota; Sphingobacteriia; Sphingobacteriales. The record is from RNAcentral.
CCUUGCCAGCCCGCUCAGAAACUCAAAGGAAUUGACGGGGCCCGCACAAGCGGUGGAGCAUGUGGUUUAAUUCGAUGAUACGCGAGGAACCUUACCUGGGCUCAAAUGUAUGUUGACGUAUUCUGAAAGGGAUACUUCUUCGGACAAUAUACAAGGUGCUGCAUGGUUGUCGUCAGCUCGUGCCGUGAGGUGUCGGGUUAAGUCCCAUAACGAGCGCAACCCCUAUCAUUAGUUGCCAUCAGGUCAAGCUGGGGACUCUAAUGAAACUGCCUACGCAAGUAGUGAGGAAGGUGGGGAUGACGUCAAAUCAGCACGGCCCUUACGUCCAGGGCUACACACGUGCUACAAUGGCCGGUACAAAGGGCAGCUACCUGGUGACAGGAUGCUAAUCUCCAAAGUCGGUCUCAGUUCGGAUCGGAGUCUGCAACCCGACUCCGUGAAGUUGGAUUCGCUAGUAAUCGCGCAUCAGCCAUGGCGCGGUGAAUACGUUCCCGGGCCUU